RNAcentral lists this long non-coding RNA (230 nucleotides) under Mytilus galloprovincialis (Mediterranean mussel). The record is from RNAcentral. Lineage: Eukaryota; Metazoa; Mollusca; Bivalvia; Mytilida; Mytilidae.
UUGUCAGUGACACAUGAAAGAGCUAUCCAGGUGAUUUCAGUUUCAAUUUUCAGAUGGAUUAUAUGUUGUGCAUUUCUUUAUAAUGUCCCUUCCCGUUUUUCAAUUUCAAUUCUGAUAUUUGAAAUCUAUUGGAAUCAAUGUACAUAACAUAUUGGAUUCAUUUUAUUUGAAUUCACUUCUUAGAUGCCUUUUUUUAUAGUAAUUUUGAUUCAUAAAAUGUGACUUGUUUA